UAGGGAAUCUUGGACAAUGGGCGAAAGCCUGAUCCAGCCAUGCCGCGUGAGUGAUGAAGGCCUUAGGGUUGUAAAGCUCUUUCGCCAGGGAAGAUAAUGACGGUACCUGGAUAAGAAGCCCCGGCAAACUUCGUGCCAGCAGCCGCGGUAAUACGAAGGGGGCUAGCGUUGUUCGGAAUUACUGGGCGUAAAGCGCACGUAGGCGGUUUUCCGAGUUGGAGGUGAAAUCCCUGGGCUCAACCCGGGAACUGCCUCCAAAACUGGAUGACUCGAGUCCGAGAGAGGUGAGUGGAAUUUCCAGUGUAGAGGUGAAAUUCGUAGAUAUUGGAAAGAACACCAGUGGCGAAGGCGGCUCACUGGCUCGGUACUGACGCUGAGGCACGAAAGCGUGGGGAUCAAACA
This 402-nucleotide ribosomal RNA is filed under the name uncultured bacterium. RNAcentral describes it as "bacterial SSU rRNA". It matches the Rfam family "Bacterial small subunit ribosomal RNA", at positions 355 to 774 of the family's 1533-position model. The record is from RNAcentral.